This 254-nucleotide ribosomal RNA is filed under the name uncultured bacterium. Its description in RNAcentral is "partial 16S ribosomal RNA". It matches the Rfam family "Bacterial small subunit ribosomal RNA", at positions 524 to 776 of the family's 1533-position model. The record is from RNAcentral.
UACGUAGGGAGCGAGCGUUGUCCGGAUUCAUUGGGCGUAAAGAGCUCGUAGGCGGCUUGGCAAGUCGGGUGUGAAAACUCCAGGCUCAACCUGGAGACGCCACCCGAUACUGCCAUGGCUAGAGUCCGGUAGGGGACCACGGAAUUCCUGGUGUAGCGGUGAAAUGCGCAGAUAUCAGGAGGAACACCGGUGGCGAAGGCGGUGGUCUGGGCCGGAACUGACGCUGAGGCGCGAAAGCGUGGGGAGCAAACAGG